AAUUGGGGAUAACUCUUCGAAAGGGGAGUUAAUACCGAAUAAUAUUCUAAUUCUCUCGGGAGUUGGAUUCAAAGGUGGCCUCUGCAUGCAAGCUAUCGUUUAAGGAUGGGCCCGCGUACCAUUAGCUAGUUGGUAGGGUAAUAGCCUACCAAGGCAACGAUGGUUAGCUGGUCUGAGAGGAUGGCCAGCCACACUGGAACUGAGACACGGUCCAGACUCCUACGGGAGGCAGCAGUGGGGAAUCUUGCGCAAUGGGGGAAACCCUGACGCAGCAACGCCGCGUGGGUGAUGAAGGUCUUCGGGUCGUAAAGCCCUGUCAGGUGGAAAGAAACUUGUGGAUGUUAAUACCAUCCACACUUGACGGUACCACCGGAGGAAGCACCGGCUAACUCCGUGCCAGCAGCCGCGGUAAUACGGAGGGUGCAAGCGUUGUUCGGAACUAUUGGGCGUAAAGCGCGUGCAGGUGGACGGGUAAGUCAGAUGUGAAAGCCUUCUGCUUAACAGAAGAAGUGCAUUUGAAACUGCUCGGCUAGAGUACGGGAGAGGAGAGUGGAAUUCCCGGUGUAGAGGUGAAAUUCGUAGAUAUCGGGAGGAACACCAGUGGCGAAGGCGGCUCUCUGGUCCGAUACUGACACUGAGACGCGAAAGCGUGGGGAGCAAACAGGAUUAGAUACCCUGGUAGUCCACGCCGUAAACGAUGGGCACUAGGUGUAGGAGGUAUUGACCCCUUCUGUGCCGAAGCUAACGCAUUAAGUGCCCCGCCUGGGGAGUACGGCCGCAAGGCUAAAACUCAAAGGAAUUGACGGGCCCCCGCACAAGCGGUGGAGCAUGU
Molecule: ribosomal RNA, 832 nt
Filed under: uncultured bacterium
Lineage: Bacteria
Description: bacterial SSU rRNA
Rfam family: Bacterial small subunit ribosomal RNA
Source: RNAcentral